RNAcentral lists this ribosomal RNA (253 nucleotides) under uncultured bacterium. Its description in RNAcentral is "partial 16S ribosomal RNA". It matches the Rfam family "Bacterial small subunit ribosomal RNA", at positions 524 to 776 of the family's 1533-position model. The record is from RNAcentral.
CACGUAGGGGGCAAGCGUUGUUCGGAAUUAUUGGGCGUAAAGGGCAUGUAGGCGGUUACGCAAGCCCGGCGUGAAAUUCUGCAGCUUAACUGUAGGACUGCGUCGGGAACUGCGUGACUUGAAUCGUGGGGGGGGAGCUGGAAUUCCAGGUGUAGGGGUGAAAUCUGUAGAUAUCUGGAAGAACACCGGUGGCGAAGGCGAGCUCCUGGCCAAUGAUUGGCGCUGAGGUGCGAAAGCGUGGGGAUCAAACAGG